UCCGUAGGGGGAACCUGCGGAGGGAUCAUUACCGAGUUUACAACUCCCAAACCCCUGUGAACAUACCUAUACGUUGCCUCGGCGGAUCAGCCCGCGCCCCGUAAAACGGGACGGCCCGCCCGAGGACCCCUAAACUCUGUUUUUAGUGGAACUUCUGAGUAAAACAAACAAAUAAAUCAAAACUUUCAACAACGGAUCUCUUGGUUCUGGCAUCGAUGAAGAACGCAGCAAAAUGCGAUAAGUAAUGUGAAUUGCAGAAUUCAGUGAAUCAUCGAAUCUUUGAACGCACAUUGCGCCCGCCAGUAUUCUGGCGGGCAUGCCUGUUCGAGCGUCAUUUCAACCCUCAAGCUCAGCUUGGUGUUGGGACUCGCGGUAACCCGCGUUCCCCAAAUCGAUUGGCGGUCACGUCGAGCUUCCAUAGCGUAGUAAUCAUACACCUCGUUACUGGUAAUCGUCGCGGCCACGCCGUUAAACCCCAACUUCUGAAUGUUGACCUCGGAUCAGGUAGGAAUACCCGCUGAACUUAAGCAUAUCAAUAAGCGGAGGA
RNAcentral lists this ribosomal RNA (547 nucleotides) under Fusarium sp. 124DZ/F. RNAcentral describes it as "eukaryotic LSU rRNA". The stretch from base 181 to 334 matches the Rfam family "5.8S ribosomal RNA". Lineage: Eukaryota; Fungi; Ascomycota; Sordariomycetes; Hypocreales; Nectriaceae. The record is from RNAcentral.